AAACAGGAAAAACAUGUUUUAGGCAGCAUGUUUGUGUCAUUGUUAUGAUUUCCUGUCCAAACCAUAUCUCUCUAUGUUGUCUGUGGUGUCAUUGUUGAGUGCUGAUUAUCUCAGCUGUCAGCAGACCAAUGUUAAAAAAAAAACAUCUAAAGGAAGACCUCAAAUUAGCUGCACCCUGCAAAUAUGCAGCAUUUGUUCCUUCUCUGCGGCUGUGUUAGAGGUCAUCGGAUACAAAUGCUCACCACUGUUGCUUUUUAUCGACAUAUGGCAAUGACAAGCAUAUGAGUACGUCAGCCCUGCGGUUAACCGAUUCUGAUUCUCCGAGCUCCUAAUCGUGCAUCCCUCAGACAGCUGAAGUAGAGGACGGGCGCCGAGAGGAGGAAUGGAGGAUGAAGGAGGGAGGGGAGGAAUGUGUUUGGCAAAUCUGCAGGGCGGUAUGAGGAGCAGUGACGUGGAGGAGGAGAAAGAGAGGAGAAGAAGGUGAAGAGCAGGAAAUGAAGGAGAAAGAGAAGAUGGAAAAAAGAAGGGGAGAGGGGAGAAGAGAAGAAUGAAAGGUGGAAGGGGUGGAGAAGUGUCCUGUCCGGACACACUGCAGGCCCAUGAUUCUUAACUGUGGGAUAUCUGGAAUUCAGACUCAAUCACCCAACGGAAAUUACCAGACACGUGGGGGAGGAGAAGGGGGAGAUUGCAGGCUAAAAAUGUAAAAAGGACAGUACAUUCUGCCUUUGUCCUUUCCGUUUUGGAAAAAGUAUUGUGCAGAGAUGAAUCCUCUUCGUAAUCUUAAUUCUUGCACCAAAACUUAAAAAUGCAAGAGCUGAAUCAUUUUCUUAUGCAGGGGGCCUUUCUCAUGUUAAACUGCAACAAAAUCAUCUCAGGAAUUCUAUAUUAGAGGAAUUUAUACCAAAUUAAUCCAAAAACUCUUGAUAUCUUGCUGCUACUUCAUAUCUGAGUGAGAGAAAAUAUGGUACAGAACAGGUCACAUUAGACAAAAGCCUUCUUUUACAAUGGUCAUUUACACAAAGGGUGCUAUCCUUCCAGACAAAAGCACUUCCAGCUCUUAUCUUCAAUGUACUUGAUCACACCUGUUUAAACCUCACCAUACAGGUAGAUAUUUAACUUUGUGUUUACAGCUCUUUAUGGGGUAAGAGGGCAGUCAUUUAGGAAUUUAUAUGAGCUGGAAAUGUGAAAUCUAUUUGAAAUUGUGGAUUCCACCAUGGGUAGAAAUGCAGUGAAUGAUCCACCUUACUUGAAGGUUGGAUUUAGGCAUAAGGUUAAAAAUAACUAAAGAUGGUUUAGAAAUAGUUUAGGUUGUAAUUUGAGAUGCCUGGGAAUUCCUUUUCCCUUUGUAUGUAAAAUUUAAUUAUUAGAUUAUUAUUAUAAUAAUAUAAUUAUCAUCAUUUUAUUUGAUUAAUGUUUAUUUUUUUAUAGGGACACGUACUUAGCAUGGACCUAUGACACAUACCGCAGCAUCUAUAGUUUAAGCUAGUUUGCAACGCCUGCCCUUAGAUGGGCCCUAUUACAAAUACACACAACACAAUUGGAAAACAGAACAUUGCAAAACACAAACAAUUUUACAAUAAUAAUAAUACCAUCAAAACUAAAUGAAAAGCAUUCAUACCUACAUGUUAUUUGUAGAGAACUUUUCAAAAAUCAAGAAAAAAGUGACUCACAACAGUCAGUAAUAAUAAGAGCAAAUGGUAAAAAAUAUAUGCCAAUAAAAGACAUUAAUCUGGGACCAGUAAAAAAAAUGCAGUAAAAUAAAAUAAAAGGUAUCAAAAGACAACUAAAGUAAAAUGAAGCUAAAAAGACACCAUUGCUUACUUUAAUGGGAUUUUACUUGUGCAGCCUCACUUGGUGUGGUGAAACCAGUAGCUUACAGCAAAUGUGAGCUAAUGUUAUGAAUCAAUAUUUCUGUGUAAGAUACAUUACUGAGUCAGUCCACUGUGUGUAUGGCUCUUUUCUACUGUUCUUACACUGUUUUAGCAUGACAAACAGAAACAUUUGCUGUUUUCUGUAGUGGCCGGCCUCACUUCAUUUGCUUUCAGUCAGCUUGCCUAAUGAUUUUGUCUUCAAAGAAACUGAGAAUCUUGGGAAAUGAAGGGAAAUCCCAAUGUGCCUUUAUCUAGUUGCUGCUGUUCUGAAUAAAAUGACAUAAUCUCA
Long non-coding RNA from Siniperca chuatsi (mandarin fish), 2160 nucleotides. RefSeq lists it as uncharacterized. The record is from RefSeq and is a predicted model, not a curated record. NCBI's taxonomy places the organism in Eukaryota, Metazoa, Chordata, Actinopteri, Centrarchiformes, Sinipercidae. The transcript is spliced from 2 exons.